RNAcentral lists this ribosomal RNA (427 nucleotides) under uncultured bacterium. RNAcentral's name for it is "bacterial SSU rRNA". It matches the Rfam family "Bacterial small subunit ribosomal RNA", at positions 355 to 774 of the family's 1533-position model. The record is from RNAcentral.
UGGGGAAUAUUGCACAAUGGGGGCAACCCUGAUCCAGCCAUGCCGCGUGAGUGAAGAAGGCCUUCGGGUUGUAAAGCUCUUUCGGCCGGGAAGAAAUCGCACGGGCUAAUACCCUGUGUGGAUGACGGUACCGGAAGAAGAAGCACCGGCGAACUACGUGCCAGCAGCCGCGGUAAUAAGUAGGGUGCGAGCGGUAAUCGGAAUUACUGGGCGUAAAGCGUGCGCAGGCGGUUAGAUAAGACAGAUGUGAAAUCCCCGGGCUCAACCUGGGACCUGCAUUUGUGACUGUAUAGCUAGAGUACGGCAGAGGGGGGUGGAAUUCCACGUGUAGCAGUGAAAUGCGUAGAGAUGUGGAGGAACACCAAUGGCGAAGGCAGCCCCCUGGGUCGAUACUGACGCUCAUGCACGAAAGCGUGGGUAGCAAACA